GAUGAACGCUGGCGGCGUGCCUAAUACAUGCAAGUCGAGCGAACAGACGAGGAGCUUGCUCCUCUGACGUUAGCGGCGGACGGGUGAGUAACACGUGGAUAACCUACCUAUAAGACUGGGAUAACUUCGGGAAACCGGAGCUAAUACCGGAUAAUAUAUUGAACCGCAUGGUUCAAUAGUGAAAGACGGUUUUGCUGUCACUUAUAGAUGGAUCCGCGCCGCAUUAGCUAGUUGGUAAGGUAACGGCUUACCAAGGCAACGAUGCGUAGCCGACCUGAGAGGGGGAUCGGCCACACUGGAACUGAGACACGGUCCAGACUCUUACGGGAGGCAGCAGUAGGGAAUCUUCCGCAAUGGGCGAAAGCCUGACGGAGCAACGCCGCGUGAGUGAUGAAGGUCUUCGGAUCGUAAAACUCUGUUAUUAGGGAAGAACAAAUGUGUAAGUAACUAUGCACGUCUUGACGGUACCUAAUCAGAAAGCCACGGCUAACUACGUG
This 497-nucleotide ribosomal RNA is filed under the name uncultured bacterium. RNAcentral's name for it is "partial 16S ribosomal RNA". It matches the Rfam family "Bacterial small subunit ribosomal RNA", at positions 28 to 507 of the family's 1533-position model. The record is from RNAcentral.